This 774-nucleotide ribosomal RNA is filed under the name uncultured Neocallimastigales. RNAcentral's name for it is "partial large subunit ribosomal RNA". It matches the Rfam family "Eukaryotic large subunit ribosomal RNA", at positions 24 to 647 of the family's 3401-position model. Lineage: Eukaryota; Fungi; Neocallimastigomycota; Neocallimastigomycetes; Neocallimastigales. The record is from RNAcentral.
UAUGUGAUCGUCUCUCGCAUAUCAAUAAGCGGAGGAAAAGAAACUAACAAGGAUUCCCCUAGUAACGGCGAGUGAAGCGGGAAGAGCUCAAAUUUGAAAUCUUAAAGGGUUUCCCUUUACGAAUUGUAGUUUAAAGAAGUGUUUUCUGUUGAGGUUUUGGUAAAAGUUCUUUGGAAUAGGACAUCAUAGAGGGUGAGAAUCCCGUAUUUGACCUUUACUUUCAACUUUGUGAUACACUUUCAAAGAGUCGGAUUGUUUGGGAAUGCAGUCCAAAAUGGGUGGUAAAUUUCAUCUAAAGCUAAAUAUUGGCGAGAGACCGAUAGCGAACAAGUACCGUGAGGGAAAGAUGAAAAGAACUUUGAAAAGAGAGUUAAACAGUACGUGAAAUUGUCAAAAGGGAAGCGUUUGACACCAGUGUUGUUUUUCUGAAAAUCAAUUAAAGAACUGUUUAUGCUAAGCUGUUUAGACUUUAUCAGCUAUCUGCUUAGUUUUGAGCUUUUCUUUAAUGCACUUUUCAGUUAACAAGUCAACAUCAAUUUCUUUUGCUGUAAAAAAGCUUGAGGAAGGUGGCUUGAGAUUCGUCUUAAGUGUUUUUAGCCUCUUGCCUAUGCAGUCGGAGAGAUUGAGGUCUGCAGCGUAGAUCCUUCGGGGCUAAAUGCAUUUGUGCUAAGUUAUAGCAUUUUAUAGACAACUUGUUGACUAUGAUUUGUCUUGUAGCUUACUCGCUUAUGUUAUUUUACCUACGCUUAGGAUGUUGAUCUGUAGUGCGUGCGC